UGGGUUGUGGCUCAGAGGUAGAGCAUUUGCCUAGCAUGCAUGGGGAACUGGGUUCGAUCCUCAGCACCACAU
This is a non-coding RNA of Ictidomys tridecemlineatus (thirteen-lined ground squirrel), 72 nucleotides long. The record is from Rfam. NCBI's taxonomy places the organism in Eukaryota, Metazoa, Chordata, Mammalia, Rodentia, Sciuridae.